AGUCACUGACAUUAGAUACCCGUCGUAGUCCAGGGUGUAAACGCUGCAGACUUGGUGUUGGGAACCCUUCGGGGGUGCUCAGUGCCGGAGAGAAGUUGUUAAGUCUGCUACUUGGGAGUACGUCCGCAAGGAUGAAACUUAAAGGAAUUGGCGGGGGAGCACCGCAACGGGAGGAGCGUGCGGUUUAAUUGGAUUCAACGCCGAAAAACUCACCAGCAGCGACUGUUACAUGAAAGUCAGGUUGAUGACCUUACUAGAUUUUCAG
This 265-nucleotide ribosomal RNA is filed under the name uncultured archaeon. RNAcentral describes it as "partial 16S ribosomal RNA". It matches the Rfam family "Archaeal small subunit ribosomal RNA", at positions 717 to 982 of the family's 1478-position model. The record is from RNAcentral.